UACGUAGGGUGCAAGCGUUGUCCGGAAUUAUUGGGCGUAAAGAGCUCGUAGGCGGUCUGUCGCGUCGGAUGUGAAAAUCCAGGGCUCAACCCUGGACCUGCAUUCGAUACGGGCAGACUAGAGUUCGGUAGGGGAGACUGGAAUUCCUGGUGUAGCGGUGAAAUGCGCAGAUAUAGGAGGAACACCGGUGGCGAAGGCGGGUCUCUGGGCCGAAACUGACGCUGAGGAGCGAAAGCGUGGGGAGCAAACAGG
RNAcentral lists this ribosomal RNA (252 nucleotides) under uncultured bacterium. Its description in RNAcentral is "partial 16S ribosomal RNA". It matches the Rfam family "Bacterial small subunit ribosomal RNA", at positions 524 to 776 of the family's 1533-position model. The record is from RNAcentral.